ACGCUCGACACCUACGGUAGGCAGCAGUGGGGAAUAUUGCACAAUGGAGGAAACUCUGAUGCAGCGAUGCCGCGUGAGGGAAGAAGGUUUUCGGAUUGUAAACCUCUGUCUUUGGGGACGAUAAUGACGGUACCCAAGGAGGAAGCUCCGGCUAACUACGUGCCGGCAGCCGCGGUAAUCUGAGCGGGCUGGCAAGGC
Molecule: ribosomal RNA, 198 nt
Filed under: uncultured bacterium
Lineage: Bacteria
Description: partial 16S ribosomal RNA
Rfam family: Bacterial small subunit ribosomal RNA
Source: RNAcentral